AUCUAGCUGAUGAAUCCUAAAUAGGACGAAACGUUCGUCCUAGAU
Schistosoma mansoni is the source of this 45-nucleotide non-coding RNA. Lineage: Eukaryota; Metazoa; Platyhelminthes; Trematoda; Strigeidida; Schistosomatidae. The record is from Rfam.